UAUCAUUAACUGAAUCCAUAGGUUAAUGAGGCGAACCGGGGGAACUGAAACAUCUAAGUACCCCGAGGAAAAGAAAUCAACCGAGAUUCCCCCAGUAGCGGCGAGCGAACGGGGAGGAGCCCAGAGCCUGAAUCAGCAUGUGUGUUAGUGGAAGCGUCUGGAAAGGCGCGCGAUACAGGGUGACAGCCCCGUACACAAAAGCGCAUGUGCUGUGAGCUCGAUGAGUAGGGCGGGACACGUGGUAUCCUGUCUGAAUAUGGGGGGACCAUCCUCCAAGGCUAAAUACUCCUGACUGACCGAUAGUGAACCAGUACCGUGAGGGAAAGGCGAAAAGAACCCCGGCGAGGGGAGUGAAAAAGAACCUGAAACCGUGUACGUACAAGCAGUGGGAGCACAGGUUUACCUGUGUGACUGCGUACCUUUUGUAUAAUGGGUCAGCGACUUAUAUUCUGUAGCAAGGUUAACCGAAUAGGGGAGCCG
RNAcentral lists this ribosomal RNA (480 nucleotides) under Salmonella enterica. Its description in RNAcentral is "partial 23S ribosomal RNA". It matches the Rfam family "Bacterial large subunit ribosomal RNA", at positions 149 to 668 of the family's 2925-position model. Lineage: Bacteria; Pseudomonadati; Pseudomonadota; Gammaproteobacteria; Enterobacterales; Enterobacteriaceae. The record is from RNAcentral.